Molecule: long non-coding RNA, 1112 nt
Filed under: Brassica napus (rape)
Lineage: Eukaryota; Viridiplantae; Streptophyta; Magnoliopsida; Brassicales; Brassicaceae
Description: long non-coding RNA (BNAP_LNC006733)
Source: RNAcentral
GAAGAUAUAAUGCUAGAAAAAGAAGAAGAAGGAAUCACGCUUCUUCUACAUGAGAUCACGCUUAACAAGAUAUAUAAUUCUCUACGCCUUUGGAGGAGAGCUCGUGAUCUAGGGAAUCUCUCUCACGAACAAAACCAGAAAAGAAACCAUUAAAUAUUCUCUUCAUAAGAGUCAAGACCACCGCUUGAUGGAAAGGUGGAAAGGAGAACUCGCUAAGCUCGAGCUAAACCGUAGAUGACGUCUCCACUUUUCAAAGAGAGAAGUUAUUCCUUUAUGUUUAACUUGUCCCGAACAACAACAUCGAGCCGGAGACAUGCUAUUCUUCCCGAUCACAUUCGCUUCUGUGUUUGAUCAAGAACAAUGGCUCUUCACACGAAACCUUAUCUUGCAAGAUCGUCAUUAGCCGAUAUGAGGACCCUAACUCCUUAUUCUUAUCCAUAAUCGAUGUAUAUCCCGAAAUGAUAAUAAACGAAACCUAACAAAGAAACCCGACGUCUCUUUCGAGAGAUGAUAAUAACCGAACUACGUUUAGACUUGAUCUCUCGUCGAGGGUACGUAGGCAGCUCGAUCCCGAGUUCAGUCACGAUCUUCCUUCUCCCGAUAUCUUUAUGCUAUUCAGCAUACGAAUUGAGUCCAUUUUUGUCAACUCAUACAUGAUUACAUCAUUGUGUUCUGAGGAUAUUGUUGCCCAUAUCAUUUUUCUUUCCUAGUUUUAUAUCUCAAAUACUUAGUGUAGAUUUUAGGAUCUACAUUUUGGCGCCGACUGUGGGGAAAAGAAACGAUAACAUCCUUACUAGGAACCCGAUCCAAGGCUUCUAAGCACGAAAAUGGAUCAAUCUCAUAUGGAGUACGAUACUGCACCAAACUAGCCAUCAUCCACCACAAUGACAUUUGAUAUUGCUAGGUCAGCAACAAGAAACAAAACAUGAGAUUCGAUUCCGGCGUCAGCCAAAUCAAAUCUCAGAAACCGAUAAAAGGAAUUUUCUUCAUCAACGCCCUCAAACUAUAGCGGACCGAUGAUGAGCUAUGAUAACCCGACCUCCCUGAGUUUAGAUCGCAAAUCCAAUAAGUGGUCGAUAUUGUCUCAGGCAACUUAAAUGAUCGUAGUCAAG